CUCAGAUUGUGAUAGAUGCAGGAGC
Molecule: non-coding RNA, 25 nt
Filed under: Cricetulus griseus (Chinese hamster)
Lineage: Eukaryota; Metazoa; Chordata; Mammalia; Rodentia; Cricetidae
Source: RNAcentral